Plutella xylostella (diamondback moth) is the source of this 289-nucleotide non-coding RNA. The record is from RefSeq and is a predicted model, not a curated record. Lineage: Eukaryota; Metazoa; Arthropoda; Insecta; Lepidoptera; Plutellidae.
UCAAAGUUACGUACACUUCAGUACUUCAGAAGGCUCCCUCGUCGCUGGCCAGUUUUCGCGCCCUAACCGUGCUACCCGUGUUUCACAAGCUGUUUCCAAUCUAACCCUGGACUUAUUCCAACAAUCCUCCUCCUCCCCUUCACUGCACCCACCGCGACGCACGCUUCCUCAGAGCGACGAGCACACAACACCUUCAGUGAAGAUUAACUGAGGACGGCAAGAUAGCGCAGUCAGGGUGUCCGGGUAUCUGUGGCCCGCAGGCCGCCACCACCGCCACCCUGUCGUUCUC